Long non-coding RNA from Oryzias melastigma (Indian medaka), 1542 nucleotides. RefSeq lists it as uncharacterized. The transcript has 2 exons. Lineage: Eukaryota; Metazoa; Chordata; Actinopteri; Beloniformes; Adrianichthyidae. The record is from RefSeq and is a predicted model, not a curated record.
UGUGUCUGGAUGACAGCUGCUUCCGUUGUUUCUGGAUCUCUGUGACUGAGUUUGAAGGCUGCAUUAACCCAAGAAGGGGGAGAAAAAGGGGACCUUUUUUAUUAUUGUCUCAACAAAAACAUGAAAAAUAUUACAGUUCAGGAGACCCGAGCAGGCUGCCAGCGCUUUCAAGCGGGCACUUUCAAUGAAAAGUCUAUGCAAAUGUUCUCAGAUGUCAGAAAUUCUGCUCGUUUGCAUAGACUUUUCAUUUAAAGUGGCUGCUUGAAUGCGCACCGAUGCAGCUGGUGUGUGAAAUGCAGUCAGACCUCGUGCUCGCCCCGUCAGCGGCCUUAUAUGAGCCCGCCCACUAUCACAGGAAAGGCAGAAAGAUUGGCUAGAACUUCAACGUACUGAAGAGAGUCAAAGUGUUUGACAUGUCCUAAGAGAAGUAAAUCUUCAAUGAAACGAAACACCAAAAUGCGGAAAUUCUUUCGGUUUUGGUUAAGCCGCGUAAAUCUUAAAUCAUGAUUUGAAUCACAUGAAUCAAAUAUCAAGUACCUGCAUGGUGAUUCAUUGCGAUGCUCCCUAAAAAGAGCAGCUAAAAGGAAAGCACAUAAAUGUCAAAAUCUGUGAAGCAUAAACACAUCGGCUUUAAAAUGUUCUUCCAGUUGAAAAAUAUGAACUUCUUUCAGUUCAGUUCAGUUCAGUAGGAGCCUUUCAGCCUUAACGUCUUUAAAUCUCAAGGAGGUUUAAAUAUCCAGACGUGGCUCUCCGGCUGAAGCGGACCAAAGUUAAGAAACAAUUUCACCCAAAAAGUGAAAUUGAGUGCAUAUUAAAUCUUUCUUUUUCUUCGAGUAUGAGAAUCACAGAAGAAAAAUGAAGGCGAUGGUCACUCAUUUGAAUCCAAAAGCAGCUCAAAAUAAUCAUCUUUCAAUAAAGACAGAUGCUAAAAGAAUGAUGGCUUCAAGAUGUUCUCUAUGAAUUUGUUACAGUAUCUUUAUCUCCCUGAGGCCAAAAAGAAAAAAAAAAGAAUUUAAAUCCUCGUGCUGGAAUUUCUUUCCAAUUAAUUUUAUUUCCAAGUACUCUGGAGGCAAGUAAAAAUAGAUUUUAAUUAGGAAUUGACGCUGCAAGGUUAAUGUGAUACCCAAAUGGUUUUGACUAUUUACUUAACUGGAUUCAUGAUCAGAAUGCAGUUCAAACUUCUAAAAAAAUAUACCUUUAAUUUUUUCAAUGCCCCACCCACUCCACAGGAACAGGGUGCCAUCACUGGAGAGUCAUAAACACCACCCAACAUCAUCUUUAGAGGCGGUCCAAGGCCACCCUGAAGGCGUCUGAACAGUACUCCAAGAAGUCCAAUGGACGGCAAUAAAGGGAAGGAAUAAAUAGAACUCCUCCCCAAUGGAGAAGGAUUCUGGGAGGAGACAGAGGCCCCCUACAGGAAGAAAUGGCUAAUGGCAAGUGGGAUGUACUUGUACUGUCUCCUCAUAGGUUUACAUACCUCUCUUGGUCAUCUUUUAAGAGAAAAUUUUGGUUUCUAAUAAUAGUGGUUGGCUGAAGCCAUAU